RNAcentral lists this ribosomal RNA (1594 nucleotides) under Ibidorhyncha struthersii. RNAcentral describes it as "16S ribosomal RNA". It matches the Rfam family "Bacterial large subunit ribosomal RNA". Lineage: Eukaryota; Metazoa; Chordata; Aves; Charadriiformes; Charadriidae. The record is from RNAcentral.
AGGCCUACCCUAGCCCGACCACUCCCCAUUAAGACAGCCUAAAAAUUCACUCUCCCAUAAAAACUAAAACAUUCAUUAAACUUAGUAUAGGUGAUAGAAAAGACCUCCUCGGCGCAAUAGAUCCUAGUACCGCAAGGGAAAGAUGAAAUAGAAGUGAAAACCUAAGCAACAAAUAGCAAAGACAAACCCUUGUACCUCUUGCAUCAUGAUUUAGCAAGAACAACCAAGCAAAAUGGACUUAAGCUUGCCCCCCCGAAACCCAAGCGAGCUACUUACAAGCAGCUAUUCAUGAGCGAACCCGUCUCUGUUGCAAAAGAGUGGGAUGACUUGUUAGUAGAGGUGAAAAGCCAACCGAGCUGGGUGAUAGCUGGUUGCCUGUGAAGCGAAUCUAAGUUCCCCCUUGGCCAACUCACUCGGCCACUAACCCUAACCAUCCACGUAGAAGGCCAAGAGUAAUUUAAAGGAGGUACAGCUCCUUUAAAAGAGAAUACAAUCUCCACUAGAGGGUAAAUCCCAACUACACAAAUUACUGUAGGCCUUUAAGCAGCCAUCAAUAAAGAGUGCGUCAAAGCUCAGUUACAUAAAAAUAUAAGAACAACAUGAACCCCUCCUCAUUAACAGGCCAACCUAUAACAAUAGGAGAAUUAAUGCUAAAAUGAGUAACCAUGGGACCCACCCCCUCUCAAGCGCAAGCUUACAUCCAUACAUUAUUAACAAGUUUCAUUUAAUAUGCAAAUUAUAACAAGACUAAAAUAUUAUACUUCACCUUGUUACCCCAACUCAGGAGCGCUUAUUAGAGUGAUUAAAAUCUGUAAAAGGAACUAGGCAAACCCAGGGCCCGACUGUUUACCAAAAACAUAGCCUUCAGCCAACCAAGUAUUGAAGGUGAUGCCUGCCCAGUGACUCAGCGUUUAACGGCCGCGGUAUCCUAACCGUGCGAAGGUAGCGCAAUCAAUUGUCUCAUAAAUCGAGACUUGUAUGAAUGGCUAAACGAGGUCCUAACUGUCUCUUACAGACAAUCAGUGAAAUUGAUCUUCCUGUGCAAAAGCAGGAAUGAGCCCAUAAGACGAGAAGACCCUGUGGAACUUCAAAAUCAGCGGCCACCGCCCACAAACCUAAACCCACCAGGCCCACCACCCAUAAACGCUGGCUCGCAUUUUUUGGUUGGGGCGACCUUGGAGAAAAAUAAAUCCUCCAAAAAUAAGACCACAACUCUUAACUAAGAGCAACCCCUCAACGUACUAAUAGUAACCAGACCCAAUACAAUUGAGCAAUGGACUAAGCUACCCCAGGGAUAACAGCGCAAUCUCCUCCAAGAGCCCACAUCGACGAGGAGGUUUACGACCUCGAUGUUGGAUCAGGACAUCCUAAUGGUGUAGCAGCUAUUAAGGGUUCGUUUGUUCAACGAUUAAUAGUCCUACGUGAUCUGAGUUCAGACCGGAGCAAUCCAGGUCGGUUUCUAUCUAUGAUGAACUUUCCCUAGUACGAAAGGACCGAGAAAGUGGGGCCAAUGUAACAAACAUGCCCUCCUCCAAGUAAUGAAACCAACUAAAUUACUUAGAAGUCACUUUCACCUACUCCUAGAAAAGGAUCG